This 497-nucleotide ribosomal RNA is filed under the name uncultured bacterium. RNAcentral describes it as "partial 16S ribosomal RNA". It matches the Rfam family "Bacterial small subunit ribosomal RNA", at positions 28 to 507 of the family's 1533-position model. The record is from RNAcentral.
GAUGAACGCUGGCGGCGUGCCUAAUACAUGCAAGUCGAGCGAACAGACGAGGAGUUUGCUCCUCUGACGUUAGCGGCGGACGGGUGAGUAACACGUGGAUAACCUACCUAUAAGACUGGGAUAACUUCGGGAAACCGGAGCUAAUACCGGAUAAUAUAUUGACCCGCAUGGUUCAAUAGUGAAAGACGGUGUUGCUGUCACUUAUAGAUGGAUCCGCGCCGCAUUAGCUAGUUGGUAAGGUAACGGCUUACCAAGGCAACGAUGCGUAGCCGACCGGAGAGGGUGAUCGGCCACACUGGAACUGAGACACGGUCCAGACUCCUACGGGAGGCACCAGUAGGGAAUCGUCCGCAAUGGGCGAAAGCUUGACGGAGCAACGCCGCGUGAGUGAUGAAGGUCUUCGGAUCGUAAAACUCUGUUAUUAGGGAAGAACAAAUGUGUAAGUAAAUAUGCACGUCUUGACGGUACCUAAUCAGAAAGCCACGGCUAACUACGUG